GAUGGAUUGCCGCCAACACAAAGUCCUAUAAAAGCCUUGCCCUCUUCCAAAUUUCUUCACACUUCAUUUCAUUCCUCAAUCUCUCUCAUUCAGAGUUUCGCGUUCAACUGGUUUGUUCUUCUUCCCUUUCAUUUCCAAAUUCUUUUUCUGCUUUCACGUCGAAGCUCGAUUUCUUUUUUCACGAAUUCGUCUUUUUCUUGUAUUGCCUUCGGAAAAGGAAAAAAAAAAAAGGAACUUGAUUUAUUGGGGGUUUUGGGAAUGGGUGUGUGCAGGAGUCAUGAUGAAAUUUUCAAACUUUUUGGUUUCUUGUUGUGGAAGAACAUUGUAACUUAAAGUUCAUUCAGGGUUCCGUCAGUAACGACUGAAUCUACUAACUUUGUUGCCUGAAUUUCCUUGUUUUUGUGCAAAUGGGGCUCCUANAAUCAAGUCUACAAUGCCAGGAAAGCCUAAUUCGGAUCCGCGUACACUCUCAUGUGUUCUAGUCUCCGAGACUGAAGAAAAACUGGAUUCUCUGAAUCACGAAGAAUUGGAUGNUAAGAAUCACGAAGAACUAGAUUCCAAGAAUCACAAAGAACGUUCCGGUAAUCACGAAAAAGAAGGUUCCAUGAAUCACGANNNNN
This 620-nucleotide long non-coding RNA is filed under the name Vigna radiata. Its description in RNAcentral is "long non-coding RNA (VRAD_LNC003813)". Lineage: Eukaryota; Viridiplantae; Streptophyta; Magnoliopsida; Fabales; Fabaceae. The record is from RNAcentral.